Physeter macrocephalus (sperm whale) is the source of this 3844-nucleotide long non-coding RNA. RefSeq lists it as uncharacterized. The transcript has 3 exons. NCBI's taxonomy places the organism in Eukaryota, Metazoa, Chordata, Mammalia, Artiodactyla, Physeteridae. The record is from RefSeq and is a predicted model, not a curated record.
UGUGUCUGGGGAAGUGUGAGUUAAGAAGCUAAGUGUGACUUUGCAAGCCACGUGAGGUUUUCGGCAACAUUCAACAAGUGUUUUCAGCUCCUGUUUUUUGUCCUGAUGUUACAUGCUUGAGACACUGGUAAGCGGAAGAAACUCAGCCUGUGACCUCCUCGAGCUGAGAGUUUAGCAGUGGACCUCAGUGUAGGUACAGUAUCUUAGCAAGCACAGGUUGCUGGGUAAGAGCACCGGAACCCUCAUCGAGUGGUGGAGGAAAAGGCUUUUUAAAGGAAAUGACCUUUAAGGGGAAUCCCAAAGGAUGAGUAAGAGCUAGGCAAACAGGAGUGAGUGAGGUGUUCUAGGUCGACGAGUGAUGAAGUUGUGGGAGUCUAGGAAAGGGAGAGGUGUCCUGGAUUAUGGGAAUAGGAGUGAAAUGAAGUCAGAGAAGUAGCUGCACUGGGGCCAUAUUUAUUAGCACAUACAGAUGACUGAUGGAUGUCAGAGGUGGGGGGAGAGGUCAAGGAUUACACCCAGGUUUCCUGCUGGCUGGACCAUGAACCUGUCACUGAGAUAUGGAGCCAUGAUGAAUUCAGUCAUGGACAAUGAGAGUUUGCAGGUGCCUGAGAUAUUCACAUGGACAUACCUAGUGGGCACUUUUUACAUGGGCCUGGAGGUUGGGAAGGAGGACCAGGCACGAGGUAGGGAUGCUAGGCACCAGCAUGGAUGUUACUGAAGCUAUGGGUGUGGUUAUGGGGGCUGAGAAGCAGUCUAGGCUGGAGACCUGAGAAGCACCCACUCUUAAGGGGUAGGCAGAGGAAGAGGGGUCUGUCUAUAAAUGACAUCAUUAGUAAACCCUGUGGCUUAGACAGUAGUCAGCACCACCUUCACCUCCAGCUUACCAAAUAUUUUCACAUAUGUUAUCCAAUGAAGUAAGUGGGACACAUUAUUCCUAUUCCGCAGUUGGAGAAAUUGAGGUCAACAAAGGUUACAUGACUUAGCCAAUUCCACCCAGAGGUCUAUCUUUAUAAUACAUCAAAGGUCAUCACAUUCCAAAGGUUUUUUUUUUUUGCCCAUUCAGCGGGUAUGGUUACAAGACCUCCAACCUUCCUACUCACCCACACCCAAGCCUCUUCCCCUCUCGGAGAUCCGGGAGCCCUUUGGCAACUGCUUUGUUUUAGUUUGGUUUUUUUUCCUUCAUUGUUAUCAGUCCUAUUGCUAAUGAUAAUAGCUAGCACUUAUGUAGCAGUUGGGUAAGCAAGACGUUGUUCUAAAUGCUUCACAUAUGUUAACAUGUUUAAUCCCCACAACAACCCUGUUAGGUAAAUACUACGAUUAUCCCUAUUUUACAGUUGAAAACAUUGAGGCCCAAGGCCACAAGCUGCUACAUAGAGCUAAGGGGAUUUAAACCCAGAGGAGUCUGAUCGCAAGGUCCCGGGCUGCUGCUGAGCCUCCAUGGCAUUUUGUCGCAGGAGGAGAGAAGAAAACCACCGACCUGGUCCUCCCUUCUUUUAUGGAGCUGGCAGCAGCCUGAACCUUUGUUUGGAGGAAAGGAGAAGCACCCCUUUGCCUUGUCCUGAUCCGCCCUUCAGUUCCCUCUGCUACACUCCCAAGUUCCCCAAAGGUGACUUCCUCUUUUGCCAGACUGGGAAGAGGUGAUUGGUGACCUUUCUGGACUGUUUACUUCCUGUGUUUAGAAAUCCAGCUUCACAGUUUUACACCAGAUUGGGCCUUUUGGAAUGUGCCUCUAUUUGUAGUUCAACAAACUGUUAUCUGGCUACAGGUCUUGGUUCCUACUUCUUAUCAAUCUGUUCCUCCGCUUUCUGUUUUUAUUGUCCUAUUUCUGGCCUCGCCAACAAGAAGGUCUUAUUGUACCUGUCCCGUUGGGAGUCUUUCCUACAACAAACACUAGAUUGUUCUCACUCCCUGGCUUCCUGGUUAGCUCUCAGUUAGAGUGGCUGAUACUCACAGUGGAUCUUCAGCUCAGCGCUGACAAAAAAACCAAAAACCAAACCAAAAAAUGAAAACCCCACAGGAACUACUAGAUGUCCUGGAAAUUUUCAGUCUUAGUGAAACAGACAAAACAAUUUUGACAGGAAUGCUGCCUUGGAAGAUAAUGGCAUCCCAAAACAGUCUGAGUUGCUUGCUGCCCUCUCUUGCCAUGCCACUUUCCCUUCUCUGCUGCUUCUCUUCCAAGAAACUUCUGGUCACAUUCCUCCCUGGAAGGUAGAGGAGGGGAAGACCAACACUGUUGAGCACCUAUUAGGCAUCAGGCCAUGCAUUUCAUCCUCAAAAUCAACUUGUGAGGCAGGUGAUGACAGAAAUCAAGGGAUAGACGGAUUAGGAACUUGCCCAAAUCAGUUAGCAAGAAAGUGGCCCUGAAACACGUGUCACGUUCUUAACAACCAGGUCAGGGCUUCCCCUCUUAUAAACUCUUGUAUUGUCAGCUUCCCAAGUCAGUCUCCUUCACCAGGUUCUGAGUUCCUCCAGGGCAGAGGCUGUGUCUUCCUGUACACAUUAGGCACUCAACAAAUGUCAGUUUCUUUAUUGCUUUCUCUUCCCUUAUCUGUCACUAAGCAGGCUUGAAUCUGUCGUCUAAUGAUGUGCCUGGCAUUCUCCGUAAUUCAAGGAUGUAUUAGGGCUUCCCUGGUGGCGCAGUGGUUGAGAGUCCGCCUGCCGAUGCAGGGCACACGGGUUCGUGCCCCGGUCCGGGAAGAUCCCACCCACAUGCCGCGGAGCGGCUGGGCCCGUGAGCCAUGGCCGCUGGGCCUGCGGGUCCGGAGCCUGUGCUCCGCAACGGGAGAGGCCACAACAGUGAGAGGCCCGUGCACCACAAAAAAAAAAAAAAAAAAAAAAAAAAGGAUGUAUUAGUGUUUAUGCCCCUUGAUUUACUCGAGGAAAUAAUAUCAACACACAUGUUACGAAUAAUACAAAGCAGUAAGUACAUUAAGUGCUCAGUUGGGUGGAAGAAGGAAGGAGAUUAAUGAGGGCAGAAAUAGAUAUGAUAGAAAUAAACUUCGUAAAAGAUAUGGGGUCUUCAGCCAUGGAGGAUGAAUAGGAUUUAGAGGUUAAUCUGUGCCUUGCGACCACAAGCAGGUAACAAGCUCCUAUCCUGUGGCAGACAUGGUCUGGGUUUGGAGAACGAGGAUUCAGGGGAAAUAAGUAAAUGAUCAACUAGGGAAGUGCAUUUGGGGCUGAACUUCGGUGCCUCCCAGGAGGAGUAAGAAACCGAAGCUCAGAGCUGUCACAUAAGGAACACUGCAUCCUAUUGAGAGGUUGAGGUGAUGGGAAGAACUGAUCUUUUCUCUUCCCCCAAAGAAUAUUUUUUAGGAGGGAUGAAUGAGGGAUGGGUGCCAAUUGCCAAGCAUUAAUUAGUAUCCCUUUUAGAUUCACCCUCAGCAAUGCUCGUUUUCUCAGAAAGAAAAUUGGUUUUCAAAAGUGUCAGAAGGACACAGCUUUUCCUAGAGAUCUUGAUUAAUCUUGAGUUAAUUAAUCUCACUUCUAAAGCUGUGAAAUCUUAACAUAUCACACAGGUCCAGAGGGGUCUGGAAAGAAAACACAGAUUCAAAAGGAAAACACUCAUUAGAAGAUAUGUGCAUGACCAGCAGGCAGGGGUCAGUCUGUGCUCCAAUGAAAAAUUACACACAGUGUAGGGCUUCCCUGGUGGCGCAGUGGUUGAGAGUCCGCCUGCCGAUGCAGGGGACGCGGGUUUGUGCCCCGGUCCGGGAAGAUCCCACAUGCCGCGGAGCGGCUGGACCCGUGAGCCAUGGCCCCUGAGCCUGCGCGUCCGGAGCCUGUGCUCCGCAACGGGAGGGGCCACAACAGUGAGAGGCCCGCGUACUGCAAAAAAAAAAAAAAAAAA